Poecilia latipinna (sailfin molly) is the source of this 1089-nucleotide long non-coding RNA. RefSeq lists it as uncharacterized. The transcript has 2 exons. The record is from RefSeq and is a predicted model, not a curated record. Lineage: Eukaryota; Metazoa; Chordata; Actinopteri; Cyprinodontiformes; Poeciliidae.
GGAGCGGAGCGAAUCACAAACUUUCUCCAAGCCCCCUGAUCCUUUGCAAACAGAGGGAGGUAUCGGCAUGCCCGACCCCGUUCACGACCGUCUGCCUGCAUCGGCCUCUGGGUUGGGAACCAGAUGUUUGAAAUGUGUGGGAGGCGGUGAAAUUUAACACUUUAAAUAUGUCUUUUUUUUCUUCUUUUUUUGUAAUCCUCCGUGUGUCGAGAAUCAGUCUGAGUCAGCAUUUGAGCGGCAGAGCAACAGGGUUCUCCUCUCCUGGUCGUAUCCCAUAAUUUCACUGUGACUCCCCUCAUGCCUUACAUCACUGCUGGCUGCUAACCACAAACAAAUAACCUCAUAUCCAGGAAGUGCACCAUGGCAACAGGCCGUCCUAUUCAUCACAUUGUGUUCAUUCAUCUUCUGGAUUUACUGACUGGGGGAGAUUUAGAGGCGACAGGAAAUCAAGUGAGAGGGAAAAUAAGUAAAUAAUGUGAUGGCGCAUUCGGAGGCAUCUCAACAUUUCAUUCGUGAGCUGAACUAUAAAUUGCAAAACUAUUCGGAUUGCUUCUUCUACUGCUAUCACAACAAACCAGCAGAGGGCAGUACAUAUCUAGUCUCUAGAGGUUUGGCCUUUGUGAAGGACAAUGGGAAAGGCACAUGAUCCCAGUAAAAGUUUCCACAGCAUGUCCCUUAUUUCAGCAUGUGAUUUUGUACAGCAGACAAGUACGUUUUGCAAACCGGCUUGUGCAAACGAUGUUGGCACGACUUUAAAAAGAGCCGUGGAAAAAUAUCGGAGCAUCUCCCUCCAGGGCCUACAAAGACAUGUGAAUGCUUUCUUCACGUUUCAAGGUCACUCAAAAACUACGCUGUUUUACUCAGGACUAACUACCGUAAGAUCAAAGCCUGAAAUCAACUGCAAAUAUUUAUUGUUGCUGAAGUUUUCUGCAAUAAAACUAUUAGUGGAAAUGUGAGAUAUAUUUUAAAGAACCUUUAGGCUAUAAGUGACAAGAUAUACAAAACCACAAUUUAGAAUUGCAAAAUGAAGAGAACUACAAAAACCUAUAACUGAUUUACAUAUGUUUAUAGAGGCCAGAGUUGAAAUCU